This 466-nucleotide ribosomal RNA is filed under the name uncultured bacterium. RNAcentral's name for it is "partial 16S ribosomal RNA". It matches the Rfam family "Bacterial small subunit ribosomal RNA", at positions 28 to 507 of the family's 1533-position model. The record is from RNAcentral.
GACGAACGCUGGCGGUGUGCUUAACACAUGCAAGUCGAACGGUAAGGCCCUUUCGGGGGUCCACGAGUGGCGAACGGGUGAGUAACACGUGAGUAACCUGCCCUCAUCUCUGGGAUAACAGUCGGAAACGGUUGCUAAUACUGGAUAUGAGCUUGCAAGGCAUCUUGUGGGUUGGAAAGAUUUUUUUGGUUGGGGAUGGACUCGCGGCCUAUCAGCUUGUUGGUGAGGUAGUGGCUCACCAAGGCUUCGACGGGUAGCCGGCCUGAGAGGGCGACCGGCCACAUUGGGACUGAGAUACGGCCCAAACUCCUACGGGAGGCAGCAGUGGGGAAUAUUGCACAAUGGACGGAAGGCUGAUGCAGCAACGCCGCGUGCGGGAUGACGGCCUUCGGGUUGUAAACCGCUUUCAAUUGUGACGAAGCUUUUUGUGACGGUAGCAGUAGAAGAAGCACCGGCUAACUACGUG